AACUGCAUUUGAAACUGGUUGACUAGAGUUUUGUAGAGGGUGGUAGAAUUUCAGGUGUAGCGGUGAAAUGCGUAGAGAUCUGAAGGAAUACCAGUGGCGAAGGCGGCCACCUGGACAGAGACUGACACUGAGGCGCGAAGGCGUGGGGAGCAAACGGGAUUAGAUACCCCGGUAGUCCACGCAGUAAACGAUGUCUAUUAGAAGUUUGUGGCUAUAUGCCGUGGGUUUCAAAGCUAACGCAUUAAAUAGACCGCCUGGGGAGUACGGCCGCAAGGUUAAAACUCAAAUGAAUUGACGGGGGCCCGCACAAGCGGUGGAGCAUGUGGUUUAAUUCGAUGCAACGCGAAGAACCUUACCAUCCCUUGACAUCCAGAGAAUCACCUAGAGAUAGAUGAGUGCCUUCGGGAACUCUGAGACAGGUGCUGCAUGGCUGUCGUCAGCUCGUGUUGUGAAAUGUUGGGUUAAGUCCCGCAACGAGCGCAACCCUUAUCCUUAGUUGCCAGCACGUAAUGGUGGGAACUCUAGGGAGACUGCCGGUGAUAAACCGGAGGAAGGUGGGGACGACGUCAAGUCAUCAUGGCCCUUACGGGAUGGGCUACACACGUGCUACAAUGGCAAAUACAAAGGGUUGCUAACCUGCGAGGGUAUGCGAAUCUCAUAAAGUUUGUCGUAGUCCGGAUCGGAGUCUGCAACUCGACUCCGUGAAGUUGGAAUCGCUAGUAAUCGUGGAUCAGAAUGCCACGGUGAAUACGUUCCCGGGCCUUGUACACACCGCCCGUCACACCAUGGGAGUGGGCUGCACCAGAAGUCAUUAGCUUAACCUUCGGGAUGGCGAUGACCACGGUGUGGUUCAUGACUGGGGUGAA
RNAcentral lists this ribosomal RNA (866 nucleotides) under Alteromonadales bacterium. Its description in RNAcentral is "bacterial SSU rRNA". It matches the Rfam family "Bacterial small subunit ribosomal RNA", at positions 619 to 1484 of the family's 1533-position model. The record is from RNAcentral. Lineage: Bacteria; Pseudomonadati; Pseudomonadota; Gammaproteobacteria; Alteromonadales.